This 331-nucleotide long non-coding RNA is filed under the name Malus domestica (apple). RNAcentral's name for it is "long non-coding RNA (MDOM_LNC010091)". The record is from RNAcentral. Lineage: Eukaryota; Viridiplantae; Streptophyta; Magnoliopsida; Rosales; Rosaceae.
UAGUUCCUUAGUCAUUCUAGCCGGAGCGACUGCAAGUGACCUAUACGGCACUACACUGCACACAAGUCGGAACCACUGUAAAGGUUUGUAUGACAAGACUGGGUGUAAUAUAGUUAUGCUCAAUGCUACGUUCUCAUGAUAGCUAUGCGAUAAAUUGCUAAUCACCUACAAGUCGGAACCACCUAUAAUGGUCUGUACGACAAGACUGUGCACCUAAAUUGGAUCCAAUGUGAGUAUAUGGUGCAGGAGGUGACAUUAUAUACAUGCAUGUGCCAUAUCUAUGGCUAAAUCACUAACACCGGGGUGCAGGUUUAUGAGCUCAAUGUUUCUC